GCAUAUCAAUAAGCGGAGGAAAAAGAAACCAACAGGGAUUGCCUCAGUAACGGCGAGUGAAGCGGCAACAGCUCAAAUUUGAAAUCUGGCCUCACGGUCCGAGUUGUAAUUUGUAGAGGAUGCUUUUGGCGAGGUGCUUUCCGAGUUCCCUGGAACGGGACGCCAUAGAGGGUGAGAGCCCCGUACGGUAAGACCACCGAGCCUCUGUAAAGCUCCUUCGACGAGUCGAGUAGUUUGGGAAUGCUGCUCUAAAUGGGAGGUGUACGUCUUCUAAAGCUAAAUACCGGCCAGAGACCGAUAGCGCACAAGUAGAGUGAUCGAAAGAUGAAAAGCACUUUGAAAAGAGGGUUAAAAAGUACGUGAAAUUGUUGAAAGGGAAGCAUUCAUGACCAGACUUGGGCUUGGUUGAACAUCCGGCGUUCUCGCCGGUGCACUCUGCCAGUCCAGGCCAGCAUCAGUUUGCCCCGGGGGACAAAGGCGGUGGGAAUGUGGCUCUCUUCGGGGAGUGUUAUAGCCCGCCGUGUAAUGCCCUGGGGCGGACUGAGGAACGCGCUUCGGCACGGAUGCUGGCGUAAUGGUCAUCAAUGACCCGUCUUGAAACACGGACCAAGGAGUCGUCUUCGUAUGCGAGUGUUCGGGUGUCAAACCCCUACGCGUAAUGAAAGUGAACGUAGGUGAGAGCUUCGGCGCAUCACCGACCGAUCCUGAUGUUCUCGGAUGGAUUUGAGUAAGAGCAUACGGGGCCGGACCCGAAAGAAGGUGAACUAUGCCUGUAUAGGGUGAAGCCAGAGGAAACUCUGGUGGAGGCUCGCAGCGGUUCUGACGUGCAAAUCGAUCGUCAAAUAUGGGCAUGGGGGGCGAAAGACUAAUCGAACCUUCUAGUAGCUGGUUUCCGCCGAGU
This 901-nucleotide ribosomal RNA is filed under the name Sarocladium strictum. Its description in RNAcentral is "LSU rRNA". It matches the Rfam family "Eukaryotic large subunit ribosomal RNA", at positions 38 to 966 of the family's 3401-position model. Lineage: Eukaryota; Fungi; Ascomycota; Sordariomycetes; Hypocreales; Sarocladiaceae. The record is from RNAcentral.